GGCCAGCCGGUUUCUGCAUCAAAGUUGUAAUUUUACACAAACCGAUUAAGAGAGAUAGCAGUCCUACCAAACCCUAAACCAUAAAAUUAAUUCUAGCAUUCUAUAAUAAACAAGAGUAAGUCUUCUUCUCUUAGGUGAUUAUAUAAGUCUUCUUCUCUUAGGUGAUUAUAUUUUCUUCCUUCAAAAAUAUAUUAAUGAUAUCAGUAGUAGAAGUACAAAAAUCUUCCUUUUUUUUUUUGCAUUAGUAUAUAAAAAUCUUGUACAUCCAAACAUCUUCUCUUUUUACCCAAACUACUGAUAAAAUAGGAAAUACACU
Molecule: long non-coding RNA, 316 nt
Filed under: Gossypium barbadense (sea-island cotton)
Lineage: Eukaryota; Viridiplantae; Streptophyta; Magnoliopsida; Malvales; Malvaceae
Description: long non-coding RNA (GBAR_LNC015143)
Source: RNAcentral